AAGAAACUACCGAAAAACAGCAGUCACAGAAGUCCCUUGUACAUCUCGAAGCUGAAAACUUACAGAAAGCAAUCUGUAAUACUGGGAUGACCCACACCUGUUCACUCAUAUAUCCUGCCUAGCAAGAGAAAAGUCACAAUAGCAGAAGAUUAAAUCAAAGAACAAAAAAACUUUUUAGGUUCUGUGGCAGUUGAUGUUUACAUCUUAAAAUACAGAGUGGAAUGGAGCAGAGAGAACAACAUCAGGAAAGAGGAGAACAGGAAAUUGAAAUUUAAGGACAUUGUAAGGGAGAACAAAAAUAGUAAGCAACACAAAAUAAUUAUGUAGACAGUACUGAAAAAGACAUUUUUUUUUGUUUAAAUAUAGUUACUGUUCUACAAAUCAUCCUUGCAUCCACGUAGUGUUUCUUGUUUGUUUGUUUGUUUGUUUGUUUGUUUGUUUUUUCCUAGAAUCAAGCAUUAGGAAGACAGCUUUGGUUUUAAUUGACAUUUUUCUUUUACUUAC
This 504-nucleotide long non-coding RNA is filed under the name Anas platyrhynchos platyrhynchos (common mallard). RNAcentral's name for it is "lncRNA (ENSAPLG00000026633.1)". Lineage: Eukaryota; Metazoa; Chordata; Aves; Anseriformes; Anatidae. The record is from RNAcentral.